This 213-nucleotide unclassified non-coding RNA is filed under the name Petrosaspongia nigra. RNAcentral describes it as "sequence contains 5.8S rRNA gene, ITS2, 28S rRNA gene". The record is from RNAcentral. Lineage: Eukaryota; Metazoa; Porifera; Demospongiae; Dictyoceratida; Thorectidae.
GAGCAGGUCUGUUCGAGCGUCUGCCAACCGAAUCAGUUGUCGCCACGCGGUGACAAGAGUGAGGAGCUGCAUCGUUCGGUUGCACUGCACUCUUCGAAUAUGUGCGAGGCCACAUUGUGACCAGGCGGGGAAGACGGUCGUCACCAUGACAAGUUGUGCGGUCCCGCCGAGGCUGCAUGGUCGGCCCCGUGACCAUCUGGACCUCGAAUCAGG